GACGAACGCUGGCGGCGUGCCUAAUACAUGCAAGUAGAACGCUGAAGAGAAGAGCUUGCUCUUCUUGGAUGAGUUGCGAACGGGUGAGUAACGCGUAGGUAACCUGCCUGGUAGCGGGGGAUAACUAUUGGAAACGAUAGCUAAUACCGCAUAAAAUUGAUUAUUGCAUGAUAAUUAAUUGAAAGAUGCAAUUGCAUCACUACCAGAUGGACCUGCGUUGUAUUAGCUAGUUGGUGAGGUAACGGCUCACCAAGGCGACGAUACAUAGCCGACCUGAGAGGGUGAUCGGCCACACUGGGACUGAGACACGGCCCAGACUCCUACGGGAGGCAGCAGUAGGGAAUCUUCGGCAAUGGGGGGAACCCUGACCGAGCAACGCCGCGUGAGUGAAGAAGGUUUUCGGAUCGUAAAGCUCUGUUGUAAAGAGAAGAA
RNAcentral lists this ribosomal RNA (432 nucleotides) under Streptococcus sanguinis. Its description in RNAcentral is "bacterial SSU rRNA". It matches the Rfam family "Bacterial small subunit ribosomal RNA", at positions 28 to 449 of the family's 1533-position model. Lineage: Bacteria; Bacillati; Bacillota; Bacilli; Lactobacillales; Streptococcaceae. The record is from RNAcentral.